This is an RNA transcript of Aegilops tauschii subsp. strangulata, 2831 nucleotides long. It is a transcript of the gene named protein ALTERED PHOSPHATE STARVATION RESPONSE 1, with no coding region annotated. NCBI's taxonomy places the organism in Eukaryota, Viridiplantae, Streptophyta, Magnoliopsida, Poales, Poaceae. The record is from RefSeq and is a predicted model, not a curated record.
CCAUCACUUUCCAGACUCUACAGCACUAGGCCAGCAGCUUACCACCGAUCCGCUGCCACCGGCCCUCACCACUCCCCCCCUCCCCUCGCCACGCCGCCACCCACGCCGCCGUGUCGCCUCCCCAAAGAUCCCCUCUGAGGAUCGAUCGCCAGAACCCCGGAUUCCCAUCGCCGCCUAGAUGGGGUGCGCACAGUCCAAGAUCGACCAGGAGGAGGCGGUGUGCCGCUGCCGGGAUCGGAAGCGGCUGAUGGCUGACGCUGUCCAGGCGCGCAACGCCUUCGCCGCCGCCCAUUCGGCCUACACCGUCCUCCUCAAGAGCACCGGCGGCGCGCUCUCGGACUUUGCCCAUGGCGAGGCGCCCGACCCCAGCAUGAUAGCCUCCCAUUCCCACCAGGCCGCCGUUGCGGCGGCCGCAGCCGGAGCCUCGGCCUCUGCGCCUCCGCCCCCGACCACCACUACUGUCCUCAUCCCGCCCUCCCCCCCGCCCCCGCCCUUCAUGGACUUCCCUCAUGGCCUCCAGCGCUCCUCGUCAACCCCCAACAUCCCCAUGCCCGAUCCCCGGGCUGCCACCAAGAACCGCGCCCCAGCUAGUGCUGCUAUCCAGGAGGGGAGGAGGAUGGCGAGGAGGACGAUGGUCAUAUCAUAACUGACAGCGAUGAUGAUGAUGAUGAUGAGGAGGAGGAGGAGGAGGAGGAGGACGACAACGACCACGACGACGACGAUCACCACGAGCAUGACGAUUUCAGCAUGGAUGAUACGGUGCACGGACAGCCGCCAAAGAGAGGGGUGAUGGACAGCAUGGGGUCUUCUCCAGUGACACCACCGCCACCACCGCAGCUAAACCCAUCCCCAAUAACGCCUGCGUCUGCGACACCACCGCCCCCCAUGCCGGAGGCUCAAAUGGCUACCUGGGACUACUUCUUCGGUCCAACCCCCACACCACCGCCCACCCUGGAGCAGCAAACUGAUGAUACUUGGAUGGAUAGGCGGGAGAAGGAGUCAGUGCCCGAGGUGAAGGCACCAGUGAUGAAUCCAGCUGUUAGUGAGGCAUCUGCACCAUCACGUGGUGCUGAGGAGUGGGCGGAGCGGCCACCACAGACAGCACUGGAGAAGGCGAAGGCCAUCGAUGAGCUUGGGGCAAACCUUCCCCCGUCGAAGCCGAUUGUUAGGAAGCCACCCAAGGCACCUGGCCUGCAACCAGAAGUACACCACCAGCAUGCCUCGUCCAUGGGCUCAGUUGAGACCCGGAAAGGGAAGAUUAUGAUGGUGUCUGCCAGCCUACUGCAGAUUAUUGCUCAGCUUGAUGAUAACUUUCUCAGGUCUUCGGAGAGUGCACAUGAUGUGUCAAAAAAGCUUGAGGCCACACGGAUGCAUUACCACUCCAACCAUGCUGACAGUCGAGGACAUAUUGAUCAUUCUACGAAAAUCAUGCAUGUUAUCACAUGGAAUCGCUCCUUCAAGAAUUUACCGGACCAAGAGGAUUUAGGUGUUAAUUUCGAGAUUGAUGAACGAUUCGAAACUCAUGCCACAGUUCUCGACCGGAUGCUUGCCUGGGAGAAAAAAUUGUAUGAUGAAGUGAAGGCAGGGGAACUUAUGAAAAUUGAUUAUCAAAAGAAGGUUGAUCUACUGCAUAAACAAAAGAAACGUGGUGUUAAACUUGAAACCCUUGAGAAGACAAAGGCUGCCGUUAGCCACUUGCACACAAGGUACAUAGUGGAUAUGCAAUCCAUGGAUUCAACAGUUUCAGAAAUAAAUCGUCUACGUGAUAAACAGCUAUACCCGAAGUUAGUGGACCUUGUCGAUGGCAUGGCAAAUAUGUGGAGUUCUAUGCACCGUCAUCACAAGAGCCAGUUUUUGACCAUAUCGGGGAUCAGAGCUUUUGAGGUACCGCCUGUUCCAAGGGAGACAACUGAUUUGCAUUAUAAGCAGACCUGUGAGCUACGUGACAUUGUCAGGGAGUGGCAUAUGCAGUUUGACAAACUUAUGGACCAUCAGAAAGGGUACAUCAGAGCACUCAAUGCAUGGUUGAAGCUUAAUCUCAUCUCCAUCGAGAGCAAUCUGAAGGAGAAGGUAUCCUCCCCUCCAAGGCAGGUGGAACCACCUAUCAAGAAUCUGCUAUAUGCCUGGCACGACCUGCUUGAGAGGCUUCCCGUCGAACUUGCCAAAACUGCCAUUAAAAGCUUUACUGAAGUCAUAAGCAAUAUUGUACUGCUUCAGGAAGAGGAGGUCAGCCUAAGGCGAAGGUGUGAGGAAACUCGCAGGGAUCUUGACCGUAAGAGGGCACAGUUUGAAGACUGGCAUCGUAGGUACACAGAAAGAAAGGCAUCCCAGGGUGAGGAAGCUAACCCCGAAGCAGCCAAUACUCCAAGCCUAGAUCAUGUCAACGAGAGGAGAAUAACCAUUGAGGAAGUAGAAAUCAGGCUGAAGGAAGAGGAGAAGCUCCACCUUAGGCUUGCGAGGCAGGUGAGGGAGAAGACGCUGGCAAACCUCCGGAUGCACCUGCCAGAGCUCUUCAGAAACAUGGCGGACUUUUCGUUCUUCUGCCAUGACAUGUACAGUAGCUUGAGAAAAUCUGCAGUGCUGCCAAUGCUCAGAGACGAGGUUCAAGGUUGAUGGCUUGUGCGUGUUAGUGUUACUGUAAUUGUCCUGCCACCAGAGGCAGGCAAAUAUUAUUUUGGUUGUAGGGAGUAGUUGUUUGCUGGCAUUAGGCCGCUCUGAAUAUGUAUGUUCCAAGUGCACUGUAGAAGUCAGCCAGCAAAAUUGAGAUCAUCACCUGAUACCAUCAAUCAUUUAUCAUGUCAUAUGGUCAUUGAGGAAGUGGUUUAAUUGCA